CAGCUGGGCAUAAAGCCUAUUGCUAAGGAGAUCCUCAUCCAGCUCGAUUUUUUUAGAGAGCAGCAGUUGCAGACUUCACCCCAGACCCAACACAUUUUGGGCUCCCACUUUCAACUAUUGAGGAGCUACAAUGUUUGUAGGAGACAUUAAAUAAUCCAGAUGAGAAGAAGAAUUUGACUGUUUUUCCUGGAAUGGUCGGAGACAAGACUCUUAAAGACACCGUGGGGUGGGUCCUGAAAAAAACAAUGAACUCUUCGUGGCGAGACUCAUCAAUUGAAGUGGGGUCAACUGAAAGCCUGCAUUCAAAGGGCUCACUUUGAAAAGUGUGGUUUUGGAUGCAGUCCGCCGGAAUGCCCUGACCAAAGAUAACACAGAAAAGGAGAUAGAGCUCCUCAUCACCAGGUGGUCGGUGCUAGCAUAUGACAGGGAUGGUGGCCGAAUCCAGACAAUAGACAGACAAUGAAUUAAAAUGUUUUUAAUUAAAAAAUGUUGAUUUUUGGAAAAUUCGUAUUUGAACUGAUUGUGUGUGUGUGUGUGUGUGCACCUGGUAAUUAUCACGUUGUGUCCCCACAAAGAUAGGAAUACCAGUAUUUUUGUGACCUUGUGUCCCCAUGAGGAAACAAGCUUAUAAAUCAAACAAAAUGAUGUUUCUUGUAAAUGUGAAGUAGGAGAAGGGUUUCUGUGAUG
Molecule: long non-coding RNA, 687 nt
Organism: Paramisgurnus dabryanus
Lineage: Eukaryota; Metazoa; Chordata; Actinopteri; Cypriniformes; Cobitidae
Source: RefSeq, a predicted model, not a curated record